This 120-nucleotide ribosomal RNA is filed under the name uncultured bacterium. RNAcentral describes it as "partial 16S ribosomal RNA". It matches the Rfam family "Bacterial small subunit ribosomal RNA", at positions 28 to 148 of the family's 1533-position model. The record is from RNAcentral.
GACGAACGCUGGCGGCGUGCUUAACACAUGCAAGUCGAACGGAAAGGCCCGCUUGCGGGUACUCGAGUGGCGAACGGGUGAGUAACACGUGGGCAACCUGCCCUCAGCUCUGGGAUAACU